AUGAACGCUGGCGGCGUGCCUAAUACAUGCCAGUCGAGCGAACAGACGAGGAGCUUGCCCCUUUGACGUUAGCGGCGGACGGGUGAGUAACACGUGGAUAACCUACCUAUAAGACUGGGAUAACUUCGGGAAACCGGAGCUAAUACCGGAUAACAUGUUGAACCGCAUGGUUCAACAGUGAAAGACGGUCUUGCUGUCACUUAUGGAUGGAUCCGCGCCGCAUUAGCUAGUUGGUAAGGUAACGGCUUACCAAGGCAACGAUGCGUAGCCGACCUGAGAGGGUGAUCGGCCACACUGGAACUGAGACACGGUCCAGACUCCUACGGGAGGCAGCAGUAGGGAAUCUUCCGCAAUGGGCGAAAGCCUGACGGAGCAACGCCGCGUGAGUGAAGAAGGUCUUCGGAUCGUAAAACUCUGUUAUUAGGGAAGAACAAAUGUGUAAGUAACUAUGCACGUCUUGACGGUACCUAAUCAGAAAGCCACGGCUAACUACGUG
This 496-nucleotide ribosomal RNA is filed under the name uncultured bacterium. Its description in RNAcentral is "partial 16S ribosomal RNA". It matches the Rfam family "Bacterial small subunit ribosomal RNA", at positions 29 to 507 of the family's 1533-position model. The record is from RNAcentral.